Molecule: ribosomal RNA, 223 nt
Filed under: uncultured bacterium
Lineage: Bacteria
Description: partial 16S ribosomal RNA
Rfam family: Bacterial small subunit ribosomal RNA
Source: RNAcentral
AUCAUGGCUCAGGAUGAACGCUAGCGGCAGGCUUAACACAUGCAAGUCGAGGGCAGCGCGGAGUAGCAAUACUCUGGCGGCGACCGGCGGAAGGGUGCGUAACACGUGAGCGACUUGCCCGUCACAGGGAGAUAACCGCGUGGAAACGGCGACUAAAUAUCCCAUAUGAUGGCGAUCUGCAUGGAUUGUCAUUGAAAGAUUCAUCGGUGGCGGAUAGGCUCGG